GGGUUGUGAGGUUAAGCGACUAAGCGUACACGGUGGAUGCCCUGGCAGUCAGAGGCGAUGAAGGACGUGCUAAUCUGCGAUAAGCGUCGGUAAGGUGAUAUGAACCGUUAUAACCGGCGAUUUCCGAAUGGGGAAACCCAGUGUGAUUCGUCACACUAUCAUUAACUGAAUCCAUAGGUUAAUGAGGCGAACCGGGGGAACUGAAACAUCUAAGUACCCCGAGGAAAAGAAAUCAACCGAGAUUCCCCCAGUAGCGGCGAGCGAACGGGGAGCAGCCCAGAGCCUGAAUCAGUGUGUGUGUUAGUGGAAGCGUCUGGAAAGGCGCGCGAUACAGGGUGACAGCCCCGUACACAAAAAUGCACAUACUGUGAGCUCGAUGAGUAGGGCGGGACACGUGGUAUCCUGUCUGAAUAUGGGGGGACCAUCCUCCAAGGCUAAAUACUCCUGACUGACCGAUAGUGAACCAGUACCGUGAGGGAAAGGCGAAAAGAACCCCGGCGAGGGGAGUGAAAAAGAACCUGAAACCGUGUACGUACAAGCAGUGGGAGCCUCUUUAUGGGGUGACUGCGUACCUUUUGUAUAAUGGGUCAGCGACUUAUAUUCUGUAGCAAGGUUAACCGAAUAGGGGAGCCGAAGGGAAACCGAGUCUUAACUGGGCGUUAAGUUGCAGGGUAUAGACCCGAAACCCGGUGAUCUAGCCAUGGGCAGGUUGAAGGUUGGGUAACACUAACUGGAGGACCGAACCGACUAAUGUUGAAAAAUUAGCGGAUGACUUGUGGCUGGGGGUGAAAGGCCAAUCAAACCGGGAGAUAGCUGGUUCUCCCCGAAAGCUAUUUAGGUAGCGCCUCGUGAAUUCAUCUCCGGGGGUAGAGCACUGUUUCGGCAAGGGGGUCAUCCCGACUUACCAACCCGAUGCAAACUGCGAAUACCGGAGAAUGUUAUCACGGGAGACACACGGCGGGUGCUAACGUCCGUCGUGAAGAGGGAAACAACCCAGACCGCCAGCUAAGGUCCCAAAGUCAUGGUUAAGUGGGAAACGAUGUGGGAAGGCCCAGACAGCCAGGAUGUUGGCUUAGAAGCAGCCAUCAUUUAAAGAAAGCGUAAUAGCUCACUGGUCGAGUCGGCCUGCGCGGAAGAUGUAACGGGGCUAAACCAUGCACCGAAGCUGCGGCAGCGACACUAUGUGUUGUUGGGUAGGGGAGCGUUCUGUAAGCCUGUGAAGGUGUACUGUGAGGUAUGCUGGAGGUAUCAGAAGUGCGAAUGCUGACAUAAGUAACGAUAAAGCGGGUGAAAAGCCCGCUCGCCGGAAGACCAAGGGUUCCUGUCCAACGUUAAUCGGGGCAGGGUGAGUCGACCCCUAAGGCGAGGCCGAAAGGCGUAGUCGAUGGGAAACAGGUUAAUAUUCCUGUACUUGGUGUUACUGCGAAGGGGGGACGGAGAAGGCUAUGUUGGCCGGGCGACGGUUGUCCCGGUUUAAGCGUGUAGGCUGGUUUUCCAGGCAAAUCCGGAAAAUCAAGGCUGAGGCGUGAUGACGAGGCACUACGGUGCUGAAGCAACAAAUGCCCUGCUUCCAGGAAAAGCCUCUAAGCAUCAGGUAACAUCAAAUCGUACCCCAAACCGACACAGGUGGUCAGGUAGAGAAUACCAAGGCGCUUGAGAGAACUCGGGUGAAGGAACUAGGCAAAAUGGUGCCGUAACUUCGGGAGAAGGCACGCUGAUAUGUAGGUGAAGUCCCUCGCGGAUGGAGCUGAAAUCAGUCGAAGAUACCAGCUGGCUGCAACUGUUUAUUAAAAACACAGCACUGUGCAAACACGAAAGUGGACGUAUACGGUGUGACGCCUGCCCGGUGCCGGAAGGUUAAUUGAUGGGGUUAGCGGUAACGCGAAGCUCUUGAUCGAAGCCCCGGUAAACGGCGGCCGUAACUAUAACGGUCCUAAGGUAGCGAAAUUCCUUGUCGGGUAAGUUCCGACCUGCACGAAUGGCGUAAUGAUGGCCAGGCUGUCUCCACCCGAGACUCAGUGAAAUUGAACUCGCUGUGAAGAUGCAGUGUACCCGCGGCAAGACGGAAAGACCCCGUGAACCUUUACUAUAGCUUGACACUGAACAUUGAGCCUUGAUGUGUAGGAUAGGUGGGAGGCUUUGAAGUGUGGACGCCAGUCUGCAUGGAGCCGACCUUGAAAUACCACCCUUUAAUGUUUGAUGUUCUAACGUUGACCCGUGAUCCGGGUUGCGGACAGUGUCUGGUGGGUAGUUUGACUGGGGCGGUCUCCUCCUAAAGAGUAACGGAGGAGCACGAAGGUUGGCUAAUCCUGGUCGGACAUCAGGAGGUUAGUGCAAUGGCAUAAGCCAGCUUGACUGCGAGCGUGACGGCGCGAGCAGGUGCGAAAGCAGGUCAUAGUGAUCCGGUGGUUCUGAAUGGAAGGGCCAUCGCUCAACGGAUAAAAGGUACUCCGGGGAUAACAGGCUGAUACCGCCCAAGAGUUCAUAUCGACGGCGGUGUUUGGCACCUCGAUGUCGGCUCAUCACAUCCUGGGGCUGAAGUAGGUCCCAAGGGUAUGGCUGUUCGCCAUUUAAAGUGGUACGCGAGCUGGGUUUAGAACGUCGUGAGACAGUUCGGUCCCUAUCUGCCGUGGGCGCUGGAGAACUGAGGGGGGCUGCUCCUAGUACGAGAGGACCGGAGUGGACGCAUCACUGGUGUUCGGGUUGUCAUGCCAAUGGCACUGCCCGGUAGCUAAAUGCGGAAGAGAUAAGUGCUGAAAGCAUCUAAGCACGAAACUUGCCCCGAGAUGAGUUCUCCCUGACUCCUUGAGAGUCCUGAAGGAACGUUGAAGACGACGACGUUGAUAGGCCGGGUGUGUAAGCGCAGCGAUGCGUUGAGCUAACCGGUACUAAUGAACCGUGAGGCUUAACCUUACAACGCCGAAG
Molecule: ribosomal RNA, 2925 nt
Filed under: Escherichia coli
Lineage: Bacteria; Pseudomonadati; Pseudomonadota; Gammaproteobacteria; Enterobacterales; Enterobacteriaceae
Description: 23S ribosomal RNA
Rfam family: Bacterial large subunit ribosomal RNA
Source: RNAcentral